GCUGUUUUUGGUUAUUAUCUUGAAUAUUAUUAUAGAUAGAGAUAAACUGUAAACAGCAAUAAUGUUCAGCAAAGUAAGAUUUACAAAUAAGUCAACAUGACCAAAAUGGUCAGUUGACCCCUUUAGGAGUUAUUGCCCUUUAUAGUCAAUUUUUAACCAUUUUUCGUAAAUCUUAGUUAUCUUUUACAAAAAUCUUCUCUGAAACUACUGGGCC
RNAcentral lists this long non-coding RNA (214 nucleotides) under Mytilus galloprovincialis (Mediterranean mussel). The record is from RNAcentral. Lineage: Eukaryota; Metazoa; Mollusca; Bivalvia; Mytilida; Mytilidae.